This 84-nucleotide transfer RNA is filed under the name Angiostrongylus costaricensis. It matches the Rfam family "tRNA". Rfam says of the family: Transfer RNA (tRNA) molecules are approximately 80 nucleotides in length. The record is from Rfam by way of RNAcentral. Lineage: Eukaryota; Metazoa; Nematoda; Chromadorea; Rhabditida; Metastrongylidae.
GUCAUUCUAGCCGAAGAGUCCAAAGCACUGCGUUCAGGUCGCAGUACUCUUCGGAGGGCGAAGGUUCGAGUCCUGCGGAUGACA